Molecule: long non-coding RNA, 3023 nt
Organism: Bacillus rossius redtenbacheri
Lineage: Eukaryota; Metazoa; Arthropoda; Insecta; Phasmatodea; Bacillidae
Exons: 2
Source: RefSeq, a predicted model, not a curated record
CAAGCUAUUUGACGUAAAUAGUUUUAAUUUUUUUUUUGCUCAGAAAUACCUCUCUGAUAUUUUUUGAAUCUUCAUGAAUCUUGUUCCACGAUUUCAUAUAUUUAAUUUCUGAUUACGUUCCUUUUUUUAAUAACCAUAAUUCGUAAAGUAAGCAAGAAUAAUGUUUGUAGUGUUUUUUUUUUACUGAUGUUGCGUUAAUACUUGUACAUGUUUAUUUCUUUAUUUUCCCUUGCACGUAAAUGUGAUGUACAGUGACGUACAUAGAGUCUGAGCACUGAAGCUGUCACAUCUAGCCAUUUUUCUUUUUCUUUUGCAUUCCACCCCAAAGUUGUAUUUCUUUUACAUCGUUAUCGAUCAGAUUGUUUAUUUAAGUAAAAGCUACGUGACUUCCAGACGGCAAACUGGUUUCUUUUAUGUGUUUUUCUAAAAUAGGAGCUAGGUCAAGCUAGCCAACGAGCGGCGCAAAAGUUAGGGUCCUCUGAGCCAACGAGCCAUGACCAAGGUCCUCUGAGUGAAAAAUCUCAUGACCAUUUUCGAGUGUUCUUUGGGUUACAUUCCCACCACUCAUUUUUGGACGGCCUAUGUUCAAACCCCCUCUCAGGCAGUGCGAAGCCAAUCAGCAGUCAUGGAAGAUCUAACCGCUCCAUUAUAAUUUAUCCCUUUUUGAUUUAUAAUUGUUGGUUUAUUGCAUUUUACAUUUCUUUAAAUAAUUUAAAUUUGAGUGCGAAGAGUCGUUAAUUUAUCGUUUUGUUUGCAGAAUACAUUUAAAUAAUAAAUAUUAGUUAAUAAUAAUAAACAUCAGAGUGGUAUGCGCUGAAAUUUCUUAAUUUAUCGAAUAUUUAAUAUUUUUAAAUUCAUUCUCUCCUACGGAUUGUUGAUCUGUUGGGGUUUUCAUCCCCAAUCAUUUAAAAUUCCGCCAAGGGAAUACCACCCAUAGGCCCUGUGUCACUCUGGGACUGAGGUUCUGUUUCGCCUUCAGGCAAGCAGCAAAUUUGACUGUCUUCUCCAUCGCCUGACUGUGCAGGGCUAAGUCCCAAUGCCUUCGGCUUCUUAUGGAAAGACUACAGGGGUUUACAUUCCCACUUUCAUUAUUUUCAGGGGUACACAAAUCCCCACCUUCAUAACUGGCACCCGACGGACCAAGUUCCGGUUCCGGCCCAGUGUUUUCGGCCCGCCUCACAGCCCCAUGUUUAGAGUUUUUGUCACGUGACACCAUUCCCAACAUCUGAGAUCAACUUUCCUCAUGACUUCAUUCACCGUUAAGGGUAAUUAAAUUAAUUAUAAUACACCUUCGAAUUGACCGUAAAAUUAUUUUUUGUAAGUAGUAGGAUACAGACGAACCUGGUACUAGUUUUACUAAUAAGUGUAGGUUUGUUUUUUUAUUUUCCCUAUAUGCUCCGCAUUUAAGCGGGGGAGUAUGUGCCGAAUCAGUACUACUUUAGGCACGAUUUUUUUUAUUUUCUUAGUUUUACAAAAUUUUAAAUUUUUUUAUAACUUCAAUUUUCCUCCUUCACCCGCUGCUUUCGCCCCCAUCCAAACUUGUUCGGUCGAGUGUACCGGCAGGUUAGCUUGUUGAGCAGUAUAGUGCUCUCACCGCCGUUUCCCACCAAAUUUGCUGGGUCUAGCCGACUACAGGACUAUCAUCAGCAACGGUAUCCACUGGCCGUCGCGUUUCGUCACGAGUUUAGCGCUACGCGUGACGAAAGUAGCCGCCCUAAGCUUCCCAUGGUCACCCCCACCCCUUCUCGGAGGUGUGCUGAAGUUUGCGGUCUCUAACACGUUUUGGUGUCCUUUUUUCAAGCUCCGCCGCACGUCCCGACGCCGGGCCGGCGAAGCCUCCCAGGGCAGGUCAUUCACCGGACAUACCCCCCACCCCUCCCUGGUCCACAGCGGUCAUCGGCCAGCCGCGCCAGUGACCAAUCUCAAGGCCAAAAUCCCCCCCCCCCCCACUUGCAAAAUGGCGGCCACCAAGUGCCACGAUGGUCUCUGCGAGACUCCGAUCUGCAUGCCCACGCCAUCUAGCGGCGAAAGGACGAACCAGCUAUCCCCUAUCCCCACCAGGAGAAACAGUCGACCUCACACUUAGUCGAUAGGUCGCCAGAGCCCUUUUUUUUCUUUCGGAGCCCUUCGGAGCACUUCGGGUUUCCCGAUCCCCUCCUCCAGAGGAACAGACGACCGAACUAAAGUUUAAGUUAGCGUCCCGGCGCCAUUUUCAGGGAUUUUGAGGGCAGCUCUCGUCCAGCGCGCAUCUUUGCAACAGGUCGCAGUAACGACCAGCAGCUAUCGUGAUCCGCUUUCGGCGAUAAUGUAGUUGCUUCUGAGCCAGGCCAUGUCGCCUAGAUUUUUUUUAGUUUUUCUUAGUAGCUGCCCAAAUAGCUAAGUUUAACUUUAGUUUUUUUUUUGGUUUUCGCCAUAACUAUUUCUUCUAUGGCUACCGCGAGCUCCCGUGCCGCGCAUCCCCGGAUCACCCCCAGGGACAGCCACUAUCUACUUCACCCUGCCAGCUAAGGCAGGGUUCCAGAAUCCCAGAGGGUUCCAGAAUCCCAGAGUACUUCAAGGACCCCAGACCAGUUCAAGAUGGCGGCCCAGUUCCGGCGCCACAUUUUGCACCUCAACAUGUAACUCGUGAGCCUCUAUAACGGAGUCUCCCUCCAUCUUUCGGCACCCCUCAAAAAGAAGUGAAGAACAGUUUAUAACUCCGCCAGUUUUAGGACAUUAUCCAUAUUAUUAUAAAAUAUUGUAUUUUAAACACAUAUAUUUGUUUUAUGAGCCUGCGAGCUCAAUGUUCCUAAACAGUUGAACUUAGCAUAGUAUGAAAUUGUGUUCCCCCCCCCCGGCCCCUCUUUCUCCUUUUUUUAUUCGUUAGUUACUCAAUGUAAUGUAUCAAAAAUAAGAAUCUGACAUUGUUAGCAGUUUUGUUUGUAAUGGCUGUAAUGCCGCAAGAUAUUUUCUAAUGUAAGAAACCUAUCAAUGAAAAGAUACUAAACUACUAAUCAACAGUAAAAGCCUCUAAUGAAACCAAA